This 538-nucleotide ribosomal RNA is filed under the name uncultured bacterium. RNAcentral describes it as "bacterial SSU rRNA". It matches the Rfam family "Bacterial small subunit ribosomal RNA", at positions 773 to 1314 of the family's 1533-position model. The record is from RNAcentral.
ACGGAAUAGAUACCCGGGUAGUCCACGCCCUAAACGAUGUCUACUAGUUGUCGGGUCUUAAUUGACUUGGUAAACGCAGCUAAACGCGUGAAAGUAGACCGCCUGGGGAGUACGGUCGCAAGAUUAAAACUCAAAGGAAUUGACGGGGACCCGCACAAGCGGUGGAUGAUGUGGAUUAAUUCGAUGCAACGCGAAAAACCUUACCUACCCUUGACAUGGAUGGAAUCCCUGAGAGAUUGGGGAGUGCUCGAAAGAGAACCAUUACACAGGUGCUGCAUGGCUGUCGUCAGCUCGUGUCGUGAGAUGUUGGGUUAAGUCCCGCAACGAGCGCAACCCUUGUCAUUAGUUGCUACGAAAGGGCACUCUAAUGAGACUGCCGGUGACAAACCGGAGGAAGGUGGGGAUGACGUCAAGUCCUCAUGGCCCUUAUGGGUAGGGCUUCACACGUCAUACAAUGGUACAUACAGAGGGCCGCCAACCCGCGAGGGGAGCUAAUCCCAGAAAGUGUAUCGUAGUCCGGAUUGUAGUCUGCAACUCG